AGCGAACGUUAGCGGCGGGCCUAACACAUGCAAGUCGAACGGGAAUGAGGGAGCAAUCUCUCUAGUACAGUGGCGGACGGGUGCGUAACACGUGGGUAAUCUACCUUCCAGCGGGGGACAACCGUCCGAAAGGAUGGCUAAUACCGCAUACGUCGGUGAGGGCUCUGGCUCUUAUCGGGAAAGAUGGCCUCUCUUCAGAAGCUGUCACUGGAAGAUGAGCUCGCGUCCCAUCAGCUAGUUGGUGAGGUAAUGGCUCACCAAGGCUUAGACGGGUAGCUGGUCUGAGAGGAUGAUCAGCCACACUGGAACUGCGACACGGUCCAGACUCCUACGGGAGGCAGCAGUGGGGAAUAUUGGGCAAUGGGCGAAAGCCUGACCCAGCCACGCCGCGUGAGUGAUGAAGGCCUUCGGGUCGUAAAGCUCUGUGGGGAAGGACGAACAAGUUGCGUGCUAAUACCACGUGACUCUGACGGUACUUCCUUAGCAAGCACCGGCUAACCCUGUGCCAGCAGCCGCGGUAAUACAGGGGGUGCAAACGUUGCUCGGAAUUAUUGGGCGUAAAGCGCGCGUAGGCGGUCUCUUAAGUCGGAUGUGAAAGCCCUUGGCUUAACUGAGGAAGUGCAUCCGAAACUGAAAGGCU
RNAcentral lists this ribosomal RNA (640 nucleotides) under uncultured Myxococcales bacterium. RNAcentral's name for it is "bacterial SSU rRNA". It matches the Rfam family "Bacterial small subunit ribosomal RNA", at positions 28 to 642 of the family's 1533-position model. The record is from RNAcentral. Lineage: Bacteria; Pseudomonadati; Myxococcota; Myxococcia; Myxococcales.